GUAUGAAAUUUUCCCUUCGCCGGGUAUGAAAUUUUCCCUUCGAUUCGUUUUUGCUAGGUUUUACGCUCUUGUUCUUUACCUGGUUUUUAUUCCCCGUCUACGUACGUCAGGGAUGUACUGUAAAAGUGAGAUUUAAUGGGCCAAAUUAGCAACCAUAACCGACCGACCGAGCUAGCUCGUUCUCUCGCUAAAUCGUUCGCUUGUCUAGGUCGUUUAUGUGCGAAAUACAGGGUGUCUAACUAUCUGGCUAGAUGACAUUAAAACGAUUGAUUAAUGUGCCCAGGUAGCUUGCAUGCUCGUCUGGAGUGGUGCUUUACAACUCUAGAUCGACCGUGUUGCUGUAUUGUAUGUAUUGCAGACGCCCCGCGGUGUACGCGUUGAUUGUAAGUGUUCACUAAGCCCCAUCCCCAGCUCCUUUACGUGGACCAUGACUGCUGUUCCAGCGUGGGCAAGGGCAAGGCAGCUGCCAUGUUCCACGAGUGAGACCAGCUGCUCGUCAGGCUGGACGUGUGGCAGUUCAUGCUAAGGUGUCACCACGGACAGUCACCAUCUGUACGGCCUCUUCAUGGGCCGCCUCUGCUUCUGCGUCUUCGAGUGGGACGCGGAGGAUGUGGCCUGUCUAUAGGAGGCCAAGCUGACUGACUGACGCCGGGUCUUCUGGCAGACCCACCGCCAAGGAGCUGGCUCGGUGCUGUCGCCGCCACACGCGCUGGGCCCAGAAGACCGAGCUGCUUAUCCAGGAGCUGCUGGAAGACUACAUGGAUGUGACAGACACCACGGGCGUCAGGCUUCUUCACGGUGAGAAGAUGGAGGACAUCUGGCCUCUGAUGGAGGCCACCUCCACUGCAUUCAGGACCCUCCUAGUGUUCAGCUGUACAGGAGGGUGGGACAGGUGACUAGGGGAGGUGUCGUCCUGACCGUUUAUCGCUGUGCUUGCGGUUCCACUUUCCUGGAGUCAUUCCACCUGCACCUGAACCGCUUUGUACCUGGUACAAGUGCGAGUGCUCUGCACUUCCAGGCGUACCUGCUUGAAGGGUUGGUGAGGUGGAAUGAGGUCCUCACGGCAGCAGCAGUGCAGCGAAGCGAUCUUACUCGGGUCUGCUACAGCAGCCAGCCAACCAGCAACUCCUUGGGCUCCAGCUGGCUAAGUAUACAGCUGCUUCCUUGGACAAGGCAGUGGGCCUGCUCAGUGGCCCAGCGUCAGCCGCCUUGUCCAGGCCGUGUGCUUGGCGCUUUGUCGGCUUCACCCGGCCGGUCAGACCAUUGCUGACCAUCGCUGGGCUGGUGGGCUGAACAGGUGGGCUGCCAUCAGGAGGGACUGUGGUGUCAUCAGGGACGUAGUCUUCGGCAGCCCCAGCCCCAUGGCCCGGACCCGUAUUCAACUUUUUGAGUUGAAUCAGCGGACACUGACCCAGUGAGGUACAACGCCAGCAAGAAAAAGCAGGAACAAGAUGUUCUGCGCCUGAGCGUUGGCCAGUCCAGCACUCCCAUGGUGGCCCUCCCACGCUGAGUAAGCUCCCAGAGCGUCUGACUCACAGGCACCCUGCCCUUGACUUUAACAUCCAGCAGGAUGCAUGAACACUAUGCCUGCAAACAGUGUGGCCAACCCAAGACCAAAGAGUUUGGACACAGCAGGUUUCGUGGGGUGCACUUCUGCACGGCAGCAGCAGGGAAGACCAUGGCGCAAUGGAUGGAGGAGAUGGAGAGGAGAUGCUGGACAAGGUCAGUGAUCUGCUGACCACCCCAUUCACCCCACUGUAGUUGUACAUAGUUUUAUAUUUAUUCCUAUUUUCAUUAUUUAUUCUAUUUUAUAAUCAUUUUUACUU
Long non-coding RNA from Electrophorus electricus (electric eel), 1826 nucleotides. RefSeq lists it as uncharacterized. The record is from RefSeq and is a predicted model, not a curated record. Lineage: Eukaryota; Metazoa; Chordata; Actinopteri; Gymnotiformes; Gymnotidae.